CCUACGGGGAGCAGCAGUGGGGAAUAUUGGACAAUGGGCGAAAGCCUGAUCCAGCCAUGCCGCGUGUGUGAAGAAGGCCUUCGGGUUGUAAAGCACUUUCAGUGGGGAAGAAAGCCUUGGGGCUAAUACCCUCGAGGAAGGACAUCACCCACAGAAGAAGCACCGGCUAACUCCGUGCCAGCAGCCGCGGUAAUACGGAGGGUGCGAGCGUUAGUCGGAAUUACUGGGCGUAAAGCGCGCGUAGGCGGUCUGAUAAGCCGGUUGUGAAAGCCCCGGGCUCAACCUGGGAACGGCAUCCGGAACUGUCAGGCUAGAGUGCAGGAGAGGAAGGUAGAAUUCCCGGUGUAGCGGUGAAAUGCGUAGAGAUCGGGAGGAAUACCAGUGGCGAAGGCGGCCUUCUGGACUGACACUGACGCUGAGGUGCGAAAGCGUGGGUAGCAAACAGGAUUAGAUACCCCGGUAGUC
This 465-nucleotide ribosomal RNA is filed under the name Vreelandella stevensii. RNAcentral's name for it is "partial 16S ribosomal RNA". It matches the Rfam family "Bacterial small subunit ribosomal RNA", at positions 338 to 795 of the family's 1533-position model. The record is from RNAcentral. Lineage: Bacteria; Pseudomonadati; Pseudomonadota; Gammaproteobacteria; Oceanospirillales; Halomonadaceae.